UGGUUAUCUGUGUUACAGGGAGCUGGGAGCAGACAGUAGGCAAGAGUGGAAGAACUCUGUGUAACUUUUUAUUAUAUGCAAAUAAGUUAUUUAAAACACUAAACUAAUAAUUGCCAUUUAACAGUUAAAAGUCUCUUGCUUGCUACAAACGGAUUUCAAGAUCUGGCUUAUUUUGAAGAUCACUGGAUUCAUACUUUUUUGUGCUAAUUGAGGGGGCUCCCUAGACACCCCGUUUUUCUAUUUUUCACUGUGACUUUAUCCCUCUGCCUAGCCUUUUAAACUUCUUACUCCACUGUGUCAGCAAUAACAACAAUAAUAAAUACAGUUAUAAUAAACAUCAUUUUUUGAUCAUUUACCACUUUACAUAUAUUAUCUCAUUUAAUCUUCAAGAGUUCUGUGAGGUAUUAGUUCCAUUUCACAGAGAGGGAUGAAAUCAGCUUGUCCAAAAUUACAAAGCUAGAGAGGAAUAGAGCCUGGAUUCAUUCCAAGGUGUAACCCCAAGUCUCCUAUUCCAGAGUUUCUCAACUUUGUUAAAAUUCGGAAUCCUAUGCUUUGCUCUAGACCUACAGAAUGAGUCUCAGGUCAGGUGUGGGCGUUCUCCUGGGAUGAUCUCCAAUAAGUAGUGUUAAGCACAGAACAAAAGCAACAUGCUGAUCAAUGGCAGCAGCAGAGGGUCUGAGCAUCUCGGACCCUCUGAAGCUUGAGGGUCACGAUGACAAGCCUGUCCGCCCACUGCAUAGGCCCUCUUGGCUCUGACCUUUCAUUGCUGUCUCUGAUCUUGUUUCAAGCCCCUCGCCUACUUCCAGAGCCCGUGGAAGUGGAGAAGUUGAUGGAAGAUGUUGGCCCCACAUUCCUGCGUGGUGCCGAUUCACACUCCUGUGUGGGGCGGAGAACACCAGCUCGCUCUACGGUAUCAAACACCUCUCCAGCUGUGCACAGCCUUUUGGCUCCUUGGCUCUUGGCCAGGAGAUGGAACCUGACAUACCUCAGGAAGCACGGCCUCUGGAAGGUGCCCCUCUGCAGCAGUGAGGGUUCCUAGGACCUCACUGCAGAAGAUGCUGAAGCAUGUGAGAACUGCUGUACCCCGCCAAACGGAGGGGCAGGAGGAAAAGGCCACUGAGAUUCUUUCAAGUCCAGAUCAACGGGUAUGAGUCUUUCUUCCGAAGCUGAUGAACGACACAAACGGUGGAGGAACCACUUCAGAUAUUUUUUAAGUCACCAUGAAGAAGUAUGAAUAUUUUUAUAGGCUUAUGCUUUACAAAUUGAAUUAACAAUCAUUAUCCCACUGAUUCUGCAAAGUACAGAUGAGAGGCAAAGAAAGACAAGGCAAAUAAAACUGGCCAGGGUAGUUUUUCCUCCAGAGUUUGUCGCUUCCCAUUCUAUCCAUCCUCCUCUUUUUCCUCUCUUUGCUAACUGCUGAUGCAACUACCUUUACUUUGGCCCCGUUUAUAUUCGGAAGACUUUUACUAAGAUUACUUUGCGAAGAAACAUAGGAUUCUUGUUUUGGAACCUGCCAUUAAGUGCAAAGUCCAAGAUAAACCAGAGCAGUGAAUUGAAAGUUCUAAAUCCGCUUAAAAGCUUCUGUGUUCCACAAUUCACUGCAGAUUUAAAAAAAGAAACCUGGCUACUAAAUCACUAUGCUUAGAGCCAGACAAGCAAGAUCACAACACACUACAAUAUCUUGGUAGAAUGACUUAUUAAGUGCACUUAAGUGUACACUAAAAUGCAAAGGAAAGUUAACACAGCAGGUUGAACCCAGUGCUUCCUAACCAUCCCAUCUCUUUCUUCAUGUUGAGCUUCUUCGCCAGUAUGGGCAAGUACCACUAUCUUCAUUUCCAGAUGUGUUCAGAUAAGCAUAAAUCUCUGCUAGGAACACAAAUAAUGCCAGCAUCAACUAUCAGGAAGGAACCAGAGUGUCCUAACUUCUUAGGUAGAGAGCCAUUUCCUGCAACUUCUAAUUUCAC
This 1964-nucleotide long non-coding RNA is filed under the name Homo sapiens (human). RNAcentral describes it as "HSALNT0168364". Lineage: Eukaryota; Metazoa; Chordata; Mammalia; Primates; Hominidae. The record is from RNAcentral.